This is a long non-coding RNA of Xenopus laevis (African clawed frog), 2202 nucleotides long. RefSeq lists it as uncharacterized. The record is from RefSeq and is a predicted model, not a curated record. The transcript has 3 exons. NCBI's taxonomy places the organism in Eukaryota, Metazoa, Chordata, Amphibia, Anura, Pipidae.
AUCUGAUGUAUACACUUAAAACAUUAUUUCCACAUCAUUUGGGCUUUUCUGCACUAGUAAUCUUGUUGCUAUUUUUCUUCUCAGUGCAAUACUCACACAUUUCAGGAAGGGAUAGCUCUGAUCUCAGAUGACUGAUGAGCUGAGCAAGAGGUUUCCUAUCAAGCAGAAGUACUAGCCAAGCCUAGCAAUCUGCAAGGUGAAAUGAUGGCCCACUUGCCGUUUUACUCCAAUCAUAGGAGCCUCAGAAAGAAUAAGCAUCGCUCUGAUAUCCUGCGAUCUAGAACUCAGAGCACCACUGCUUUCCAAAUCCUGGCGGCUGCCGGGCAAGACUGUCUUUCUACACCUAAAAAACUAAGGACACAUUUCGGACAGAGAAGACCGCUGGAUUGAAUGAGGUGUAAAUGAGGCUAUUCAUGUUAAAGUGGAGAAACCAUCCCAAAAAAGAAGACGGGGCCUUCUACACCAUCUGUGUGCUACAUACAAUGCUGUUCUAACAUCUUUACCUCAGCGGCUUCACAAAACUUCACACCUCUGCAAUUUACACAAGUAACACCUGUCUCUUUGAGUUGCAUGACUCAUUGGUAAUUCUAUCACAAUAACUACACAGCAUUCAGAAUCUCUGUGAGUUACAGUUGUCACCUCUGGAUAGUUACACUGCACCAUUCUGAUUGAAUUAUUGGAAGAGUUUGUAUGAAGAGGAUUUCCUGUACCAGUUAGUUGAACAGCAGAAGUUGCUUGGAUGAGUAGUGAAACGUCUUUAAUGAUUACUCAGCAAGUCCACUAGAUAUACUUCUACUAGAUAGUUUACUUUAUUAUAUUGUAACAGGCAUAUUACAUGGUUUUGAAGUCGGCAUAAGAGUUCCACUGCCUUAUAUAUACUGUAUGUAUUGAAUAUAUGGCAACCUUCAUGCUGAGGCUCACUGCCCCUAAAUAUUCAUUGUUCCCUUUCUAUGCAGUGUUGCAAAUUGGUAGUAAUAUGGAAAAUGAUUUGUACAUCAAGGAAAAGACACAAUGAUUUGAGCUGCUACUUUUUUUACGUGUAGCCACCACUUAUAAAAAAUACUAGAUAUAAUAAAUCUGCUGCCAUAGUUAUGUGAGUUAAUAUUUUUACUAGCAUGUUAUAGAGGUCAUUCUGAAGAUGUGAACAUUAUUAGUGCAACUGGUCUGAUCUGAACUGACACCUCAUCUAAGAAUGAUAGAUAGCCUGCAGUCAAUAGAGUUUGUGUUUAAAGCUUUCCUAAGUCAUUUCAUGGAACCCGAUUAACCAAAAUAAAGCUUAACACAAGAUAGUGACAAGGCUUUAAAUAAUAACACAAGAAAUGUAGAAUUCUGGAACCAUUAGAUAAUUAUAGAAAGAACAAGUGAACUUUUUUUUUUUUUUGCAAUGUCAGGCGUGUCAUUUAAGUUAUGAGUAUGUCAUCAUUAUUGUAGAACCUCUAUAUCAAUUAUAUUGUAAUUGCUUUAUAUCAAAGCAAAUGUUACUAUAAAGUAAACAUUUUCUAGCCUAUGGAGGUUCUAGUGGGUGACUUUACUGAUAAUUAGUUGGUCUUAUAGCAGCUGAAUAAAACCAAGACUAUUGGACCCCACAAAGCAGAUUUGUUUUCAAAUAACCUGCCUACACAGUUCAAAGCACCCACUAAGAAUUUUUAAAGAUCUGUAUGACAACGUCUGUAUGUUUUUUUGAAUAUACAUCAACAGGAAUCAAUAGUAAUGUAGACAAUUGUAAUAAUUGAACAAAAGUUUGAUACCAUUGUUUAAAUUCCUGUUGAGUGCCCUCAAUUUUAUUUGGUAUUUACAUUAUAGAAUACCAGCACAGGUACUUUUUUGUGACUUUAUGAUUGUGCGAUCUUUCCUGGUCUGUAUGUAUAUAUUACACACAAGUAUCAUGAUGAAUAUCCUGUAAAUGAUAUACAGCGCUGGUUAAUGUACUCUGUUAUAAUUGGUGCUUGUUAAUGUAAUUUGUGUUUCAAGACUCACUGAAAUGUAUGUAAUAUAAUUAACAAGUAGCCAUUUUGUAAAGUAUGAGGAUAUCCUCGGCCUGCAGCCUUACGAUUUUAGAUGUUCAAGCAACUCCUAGGUGACUUGUAACAUUUUACAAUAAGAGGUACAUUAUUAACUGUUAACACAGAGCUGAUCUGAACUGCAUGUACAGCUUCCGACACACCAACUUCUGUGUGAACAGUAACUUGGUUGCUUUAUAGA